Molecule: long non-coding RNA, 1432 nt
Filed under: Parus major (Great Tit)
Lineage: Eukaryota; Metazoa; Chordata; Aves; Passeriformes; Paridae
Description: lncRNA (ENSPMJG00000004814.1)
Source: RNAcentral
UAUUCCCAGCUAUUCCCGGCCAUUCCCGGCCAUUCCCGGCCGUUCCCGGCCGUUCCCGGUUAUUCCCAUCCCGGUAAUUCCCCCAUCCCGCGCUGCAGCUCCCGGGUUUGUCCUUCCCGGGUAUUUUUAGCUGCGGUUCCAGCCGGGAAAGCGCCCGGAGGAAGAGCCGGGUCCCGCCGCCCCUCUUGGGCUCAUCCGGCUGAACAAUGGCCCGGAGAGGCUGGAAAAUGUUCCCGUUUCCCGGGCAGGGCCGGGCAGGCUCUUGGAGAGCUCCUGUCCCCUCGCUGCCACCCCCGGUGUCACCCGCGGGGUCACCCCGGCCUGCUGGGACAGGUCACGUCGCCCCCAGAGCCAGAUUCCCUGCGGGGAUUUCGGGAUUGUCCCCAAAUCUGUGUCCCCAACCCCAUGAGGAAUGUGAGGGGAGGGGACAGGCACCCGAAGCCACCCCAGGAGCGUGGGGACAGCGUGGGGACAGCUUGGGGACAGCGUGGGGUGACCUGGAGCUCUCCUGUGCUCCUCAUGGCGGAGUCACCCCUUCAGGCAUUUCGGGAUUGUCCCCAAAUCCAUGAAAUCCGUGUCCCCACCCCUCCAAGGAACGUGAGAGGCACAAAGCCACCAGGACCCAAAGCCACCUCGAGCAUGGGGACACCGUGGGGUGACCUGGGGCUCUCCUGUGCUCCCCACACUCAGGACAAGCCGGGGGUUCCAGGAUUGUCCCCAAAUCCGUGUCCCCACCCUUGUGAGGAAGAUGAGAAGGGGACCCAAGGCCACCAAGGCCAGCUUGGGGACACGGGGUGACAAUGCGCCAGAGGAGCAGGAGGGCUCUGAGGAGCCGGGGGCUGGGUGGGCGCUGUCCCCACGUGUCCCCUGUCCCCAGGCCAGCCUGGAGGCCAAUGUCACCGCGCUGGGGACCGAGCUGGUGGCGCUGCGGCGCGAGCGGGCCGAGCUGGCGGGUGACAAAGUGGCGCUGCAAGGUGAGCUCUGUCCUCCCGAGCCGGGACAGCCGGCGGGGUGCGGGGUGCGCCGGGCCCGGGGUGACGCCGCUGUCGCCGCUGUCCCCAGAGGAGGUGGCGCGGGGCGCGGAGCGGGCGCGGAGGCUGCAGGAGGAGCUGGAGCAGCUGCGGGAGCUGCGGGAGCGCCGGGAGCGCUGCGAGGCGCGACACCGGGAGCUCCAGGACACCCUCCGGGACUGCGCGGCCGAGGUGGAGGCGCUGCGGCGGCGGGGGAGGGACAGAGGCAGCGGGCGCAGGUGUCCCCCGGCCCGGUACUCGGUGGGGGGACCCGGGGAGGGGGACAGCCCGGGGAGGGGGGACAUCCAGGAGAAGGGGACAUCCCGGGAAAUGGGGACAUCCCGGGGAGGUGGCACAAUCCACGGACUGGGAAAUCCCGCAAGGGGCGACAUCCUGGCGAGAGGGGACAUCCGGAGGAGAGG